CUUGAGCGGGGUCAUGAAAAAUAUGUAGUGGAUACUAUCCAAAGUCAUCCUGCCCAGCUAAGAAAAUCAACCUCACAACAAAGACAAGUGCACAAUUGAAUGGAUGAUGAAUUGGAGGGUGGAGCAAGCUUCAUGGUUUACUUUUUGUGUAUCUUGUUGUGUUUCUGUUUUUUACUUUUGAAGCAAAAGAUGUGCAAGACUAUAGAAUUUUAUUAUGUAUGCUUUCAAACUCAAGUUAGAACUAAGAACUUUUGAAGUGGACAGUGUCAUGGUUUGAAGUA
Molecule: long non-coding RNA, 281 nt
Organism: Humulus lupulus (European hop)
Lineage: Eukaryota; Viridiplantae; Streptophyta; Magnoliopsida; Rosales; Cannabaceae
Exons: 2
Source: RefSeq, a predicted model, not a curated record